This is an RNA transcript of Gossypium raimondii (Peruvian cotton), 2968 nucleotides long. RefSeq lists it as uncharacterized. The transcript has 3 exons. The record is from RefSeq and is a predicted model, not a curated record. NCBI's taxonomy places the organism in Eukaryota, Viridiplantae, Streptophyta, Magnoliopsida, Malvales, Malvaceae.
UUUAGGCCUUGAGGGGGGAGUUUUUCACUUACAGCACGCCAUUUUUUCGACCUUAGUGCUUUUUUUUUUCUUUCUUUUUUUGCUUAGGGCAUUAUUUCCUUGGAUCAGGAUCAGGCUCAGGCAAUCAGCUUGCGCUUAGUUUUUUUUUUCCCUUCAUAGACGGCCACAGGCGUCUCUGUUCCCUCACCUGUUCUUCAUUCAGAGAUUAAGAGGUUAUCUGGGUAUGGCUGAAGAACAAAUAGAUUUUGGAGAUGAGGAGUAUGGAGGGGUACAAAAGACACAGUAUCAAGGGAGUGGAACCAUACCUGCCCUUGCAGAUGUAGAGAUGAUUGGGGAGGAUGACGAAUAUGAUGACCUUUACAAUGAUGUUAAUGUUGGAGAAGGUUUUCUUCAAUUGCAACGAUCUGAGCCACCAGUGCAACCAGGCACGGGCGGUACUGGGCUUCAAGCUCAUAAAAAUGAGGCUCCUGAACCCAGAGGUGAAGCUGGGGGUUCACAAGGACCAAACAUCUCAGGAAUUUCAGUUCAAGGGAAGUACCCCAAUGUUAGUGCCGGUUAUCGUGAAGCAGAUGUGCAACCAACUGUUAACAGACCAGAAAUAGGAUCUGGAAAUUAUCCAUCUGGGUCUGCUAGUUCACAAGGGGGCAGUGUUAUGGAGACAAACUUUGAUACCCAAGUAAAAAACAUGGGUUUUCAGGGAUUAACUUCAGCAUCCUCUAAGGUUGGGACUGGUCCUUCUGUUGUGCCUCAAAAGAUUGCUAACAACCCUGCUCAAUCCCUAAAUUCAGGUACUGGUGGUCCUCAAGGAGCUUCACAGGUUCCGCCUAAUCAAAUGGGUAUGAAUGUAAAUCAUCCUAUGAUGAAUGAAAAUCAGGUUCGGCCACCUAUAGAGAAUGGUCCAACAAUGCUGUUUGUUGGUGAGUUACAUUGGUGGACAACUGAUGCAGAGCUUGAGAGCGUUUUAUCUCAAUAUGGAAGGGUGAAGGAGAUUAAGUUCUUUGAUGAGAGAGCUAGUGGCAAAUCCAAAGGGUAUUGUCAAGUUGAGUUCUAUGAUUCAGCAUCUGCAGCUGCAUGUAAAGAGGGAAUGAAUGGUUAUAUGUUCAAUGGUCGAGCUUGCGUUGUGGCUUUUGCUUCACCACAAACGUUGAAGCAGAUGGGAGCGUCUUAUAUGAACAAAGACCAAGGCCAGCCUCAAGUACAGCCUCAAGGAAGGAGGCCAAAUGAAGGUUUUGGGAAAGGUGGUAAUAUGAAUUACCAAGGUGGGGAUGCAGGUAGGAACUAUGGAAGGGGUGGCUGGGGACGGGGAGGUCAAGCUGGCAACCGAGGUGGGGGUGGAGGACCAAUGAGAGGAAGGGGAGGUGUAGGUGUAAAGAACAUGGUUGGGAGCUCAGCUGGAGUUGGGAAUGGUGCUUAUGGUGCUGGGGCCUAUGGACCAGGACCGGGAGGCCCUGCAUUUGGUGGUCCUGCUGGUGGCAUGAUGCAUCCACAGGGUAUGAUGGGUGCUGGGUUUGAUCCAACAUAUAUGGGUCGAGGAGGUGGUUAUGGAGGUUUUCCAGGACCUGGUUUUCCGGGCAUGCUUCCAUCAUUUCCAGCUGUUAAUACAAUGGGACUAGCUGGCGUUGCUCCUCACGUCAAUCCUGCUUUCUUUGGUCGUGGAAUGGCACCUAAUGGGUUGGGAAUGAUGGGUGUAGCUGGAAUGGAUGGGCCUCAUUCUGGAAUGUGGACUGACACAAACAUGGGUGGGUGGGGAGGAGAUGAGCAUGAUCGCAGGACUAGAGAGUCUAGUUAUGGUGGUGAAGAUGGUGCUUCAGAGUAUGGGUAUGGGGAUGCGAAUCAUGAAAAAGGAAGGUCUAGCGGUGCCACUCGGGAAAAAGAUCGGGCUUCUGAGCGUGAGUGGUCAGGCAACUCUGAGAGGAGGCAUCAUGAUGAGAAGGAACGGGAAUCGGACAGGCCUGAGAGGGAGCACAGGGAACACCGUUACAGGGAAGAGAAAGACAGCUAUAGAGAGCAUCGACAUCGCGGACGUGACGUGGAUUAUGAUGAUGACUGGGAUAGGGGACAGUCUUCUUCAAGAUCUCGGAACAGGUCCCAUGCAACACGAGAAGAAGAGCACAGGUCUCGAUCAAGGGAUGUGGACUAUGGGAAGAAGAGACGCCUACCAUCAGAGUGACAAACUAUGCUGUGCAUGCUUCUUUACACUUUCUUAUGAGACCUUUAAUUAAGUUUUCACUCUCAGUAUCUCUUCCCUUGGUUGUUAUAUCAUUUCAGCAUUCUCUGUGAUGAUUGUUGGUCCAGGUGCCAAACGUCGCUUCUUAAAGGAAGAAGGAGUCAAAUGGGGAAACUCUUUGUUGAGGAAGAUGUGUUAGAAUGCUGGCUUCGUUGGCUUCCCUUUCAAGUGUGCAAAAAAUAUAUAUAUUUUAUGAGCACUGCUAAGAAACUGUAACAUCUGGAAAGAAAGUAAAUCCAACUGAAUCCAUGAACUGGAAUGUUGGUGUUGUGUGCAUUAGAAUCACUACUUACAAUACAGUCUACUUGUAAAGCAUUUUUGUCUUGUAAAGUUCGAUCUGUUUAUUAGGUCCAUAUCUUGUAAUGUGGCCUCUUUCAUUGUUUGUAUGAUUAAAUUCGGCUUUCUAAUUAGUCUUAGAGGAGUUUUGUACAGAAUCGAGGCCAACACUUGUUCGUGCUAUGUAUACACUUAUAAUUGAUUUGUUAGCUUAGAAUAGGCAUAGAUGAACUAGAUGCAAAUUGUAACAUAGGAUCACCUAUCCAACUGUAACCAUUGAUGUAACAUGCAUACUCCCCGGUUUCUGUUUAAGCACUUGUUUAUGCUUGUAUACACUUGUAAUCAAUAUGUUAGCUUAGAAUAGGCAUAGAUGAGCUUAGAUGCAAAUUGUAGCAUAGGUUCGCUGUUGAUGUAACAUACAUACUUCCCAGUUUUUCUGUAAGCACUUGUUCAUGCUUGUAUAUA